AGAGUUUGAUCAUGGCUCAGGAUGAACGCUAGCGGCAGGCUUAACACAUGCAAGUCGAGGGGUAUAGUUCUUCGGAGCUAGAGACCGGCGCACGGGUGCGUAACGCGUAUGCAAUCUACCUUUUACAGAGGGAUAGCCCAGAGAAAUUUGGAUUAAUACCCCAUAGUAUGUGAGAAUCGCAUGGUUUUCACAUUAAAGUCACAACGGUAAAAGAUGAGCAUGCGUCCCAUUAGCUUGUUGGUAAGGUAACGGCUUACCAAGGCAACGAUGGGUAGGGGUCCUGAGAGGGAGAUCCCCCACACUGGUACUGAGACACGGACCAGACUCCUACGGGAGGCAGCAGUGAGGAAUAUUGGACAAUGGGCGCAAGCCUGAUCCAGCCAUGCCGCGUGCAGGAUGACGGUCCUAUGGAUUGUAAACUGCUUUUGUACAGGAAGAAACACUCCCUCGUGAGGGAGCUUGACGGUACUGUAAGAAUAAGGAUCGGCUAACUCCGUGCCAGCAGCCGCGGUAAUACGGAGGAUCCAAGCGUUAUCCGGAACCUUGGGUUUAAAGGGUCC
Molecule: ribosomal RNA, 560 nt
Filed under: uncultured Flavobacteriia bacterium
Lineage: Bacteria; Pseudomonadati; Bacteroidota; Flavobacteriia
Description: bacterial SSU rRNA
Rfam family: Bacterial small subunit ribosomal RNA
Source: RNAcentral